Molecule: transfer RNA, 71 nt
Filed under: Loxodonta africana (African savanna elephant)
Lineage: Eukaryota; Metazoa; Chordata; Mammalia; Proboscidea; Elephantidae
Rfam family: tRNA
About the family: Transfer RNA (tRNA) molecules are approximately 80 nucleotides in length. Their secondary structure includes four short double-helical elements and three loops (D, anti-codon, and T loops).
Source: Rfam by way of RNAcentral
UCCAUGGUGGUUCAGUGGUAGAAUUCUCACCUUCCAUGCAGGAGACUCGGGUUCAAUUCCUGGCCAGUGUA